GAUGAACGCUGGCGGCGUGCCUAAUACAUGCAAGUCGAGCGAACGGACGAGAAGCUUGCUUCUCUGAUGUUAGCGGCGGACGGGUGAGUAACACGUGGAUACCCUACCUAUAAGACUGGGAUAACUUCGGGAAACCGGAGCUAAUACCGGAUAAUAUUUUGAACCGCAUGGUUCAAAAGUGAAAGACGGUCUUGCUGUCACUUAUAGAUGGAUCCGCGCUGCAUUAGCUAGUUGGUAAGGUAACGGCUUACCAAGGCAACGAUGCAUAGCCGACCUGAGAGGGUGAUCGGCCACACUGGAACUGAGACACGGUCCAGACUCCUACGGGAGGCAGCAGUAGGGAAUCUUCCGCAAUGGGCGAAAGCCUGACGGAGCAACGCCGCGUGAGUGAUGAAGGUCUUCGGAUCGUAAAACUCUGUUAUUAGGGAAGAACAUAUGUGUAAGUAACUGUGCACAUCUUGACGGUACCUAAUCAGAAAGCCACGGCUAACUACGU
RNAcentral lists this ribosomal RNA (496 nucleotides) under uncultured bacterium. RNAcentral's name for it is "partial 16S ribosomal RNA". It matches the Rfam family "Bacterial small subunit ribosomal RNA", at positions 28 to 506 of the family's 1533-position model. The record is from RNAcentral.